GAGACCACAGGAGAGGCAGUUUAAUGGUGCCCUGCACUGAAUUUUUAGAGCCUUUCAUACAAUAAAAGAUACAUUUCAUCUUUACGCCACCUGUCUAAAUCACAAAAACGUAAAUUCGAUUAAUGCUGAAAGGCAGAAGCCCUGAGCUGCUUCUUCGCUUUGCUAUAUGUAGUGCCGUGGCUAGCUCUGGUUUAAUCUUCCGGGUGUAGUUCAAUAUAUUUCUGACCCAGCCAGGUAGAACGGAAGCCUUAGCUAUAUUUCCAAGCUCUUGGAGGUUUUAAGACAACCCCACAGCUUUCACUGGAAGUAGUUUUUGCAGUGUACUAAUAAAUAAUCUCAGGGAGAGCGCAGUUGUCCACAAGCAAACAUCAGCUGCAGAACAAAAAACAUUAGAAAAGGGAAGUAUUGACUUUAUUUUUGCAGCAGAUGUCUUUGCUGAAGUCCCUCCAUUCCCCACUACAUUUCUGCCAUGUUAAUUGUCAUAACUAUCCCCUAUAGUUCCUUAGUAGGAGAAUUGUAACAAUUAGCCCGUGACUUAACACCAGCUGUCUUGGCUUAGACAAGGCAAUGUGUUUUGGACUCUGAACACCUGCAAACACAGUACAUGGUGGAUGUUUGGAUGCUAAACCAAACAGCUGUUGUGUUUCAGAUUCAUCCUCUUGGGGGGGUAGAGGGAGAGAGCAUGAAAAAUGUCUGUAUGUUCUACUGCUGUAAUUUCCACUUUUGGAGCUUUAUUCUGUGGAUUUCAUUUCAGUACGCGGAGUCUCAGCUGAUUAAGGGAUGGUCCUAGCCACUAUCAGGAGAUUGUACAAUCUGUAGGAUUCCAUAUGUUACAUGGCUUUGUGACUAAUUCAGACUGACUCUCUUCUACCACCUCAAGCCAGUUCAUCCAUCUACCACCUUGAUCACUCCGCAGUUCCAGCGGAGCUGAUGAGAAGCUUGCCUCAGGCCAACCAACCCUCAUUUCAAGCAAUAUUAUGCACUCAAGUUACUCCAAGAUUGGAAGACAUUCAUUUUUACUCCUGAAAAUGACUUAGAAAGAAAAGAAAGAAGAAAGUGUCAUGAGGAAGUGUGAAGGGAAUGACCCCCAGCCCAACACUAUUCUUUGGUCAGCAAAAGCAACAUGCUCAGCGCCAUUACAGGAACAACAAAAGCCAUGCUCCUUUGCAGGAUGAAGGGAGAAGGAGAAAGAGAACAAAGAAGAUAAGAA
Struthio camelus australis is the source of this 1210-nucleotide non-coding RNA. The record is from RefSeq and is a predicted model, not a curated record. NCBI's taxonomy places the organism in Eukaryota, Metazoa, Chordata, Aves, Struthioniformes, Struthionidae.